GACGAACGCUGGCGGCGUGCCUAAUACAUGCAAGUAGAACGCUGAAGGAGGAGCUUGCUUCUCUGGAUGAGUUGCGAACGGGUGAGUAACGCGUAGGUAACCUGCCUGGUAGCGGGGGAUAACUAUUGGAAACGAUAGCUAAUACCGCAUAAUAGCAGUUGUUGCAUGACAACUGUUUGAAAGGUGCAAUUGCACCACUACCAGAUGGACCUGCGUUGUAUUAGCUAGUUGGUGGGGUAACGGCUCACCAAGGCGACGAUACAUAGCCGACCUGAGAGGGUGAUCGGCCACACUGGGACUGAGACACGGCCCAGACUCCUACGGGAGGCAGCAGUAGGGAAUCUUCGGCAAUGGACGGAAGUCUGACCGAGCAACGCCGCGUGAGUGGAGAAGGUUUUCGGAUCGUAAAGCUCUGUUGUAAGAGAAGAACGAGUGUGAGAGUGGAAAGUUCACACUGUGACGGUAUCUUACCAGAAAGGGACGGCUAACUACGUG
RNAcentral lists this ribosomal RNA (495 nucleotides) under uncultured bacterium. Its description in RNAcentral is "partial 16S ribosomal RNA". It matches the Rfam family "Bacterial small subunit ribosomal RNA", at positions 28 to 507 of the family's 1533-position model. The record is from RNAcentral.